AAAUUGAAGAGUUUGAUCAUGGCUCAGAUUGAACGCUGGCGGCAGGCCUAACACAUGCAAGUCGAACGGUAACAGGAAACAGCUUGCUGUUUCGCUGACGAGUGGCGGACGGGUGAGUAAUGUCUGGGAAACUGCCUGAUGGAGGGGGAUAACUACUGGAAACGGUAGCUAAUACCGCAUAACGUCGCAAGACCAAAGAGGGGGACCUUCUGGCCUCUUGCCAUCGGAUGUGCCCAGAUGGGAUUAGCUAGUAGGUGGGGUAACGGCUCACCUAGGCGACGAUCCCUAGCUGGUCUGAGAGGAUGAACAG
This 310-nucleotide ribosomal RNA is filed under the name Shigella flexneri. RNAcentral's name for it is "bacterial SSU rRNA". It matches the Rfam family "Bacterial small subunit ribosomal RNA", at positions 1 to 307 of the family's 1533-position model. Lineage: Bacteria; Pseudomonadati; Pseudomonadota; Gammaproteobacteria; Enterobacterales; Enterobacteriaceae. The record is from RNAcentral.